AUCCUUAACAAUCCCUAUUAUAAUAAAUAUAAUUUUAUCAAAACAUUUUUCUCCAUAGUUUUUCUUGGAUGGUAUUUGAAGUUCCGGAUCUGCACUUUCCCUUCCUUGGACAAGAAGGAAUCAGCCAUCAGAAACAUCAAAUUGAGCUCAUAUGAGCCAGAAACUGCAGGAUGUACAGGUCAUGUUGAGGAUUAGCGGAAAUAAUAGGAAGUAACAAGAAGGGGAACAUACUCAAAAGAUUGGCUAUUAUUAGCAUUAGUAUACAAAUUGUACUUUACUUCAAGCCAGAUCCAUUC
RNAcentral lists this long non-coding RNA (296 nucleotides) under Mus spicilegus (steppe mouse). Its description in RNAcentral is "lncRNA (ENSMSIG00000007158.1)". Lineage: Eukaryota; Metazoa; Chordata; Mammalia; Rodentia; Muridae. The record is from RNAcentral.